This is a non-coding RNA of Mus musculus (house mouse), 59 nucleotides long. The record is from Rfam. NCBI's taxonomy places the organism in Eukaryota, Metazoa, Chordata, Mammalia, Rodentia, Muridae.
UGAUGUCCCUCGCCCAUCCCUGAAGAUCCCAGGUGGGCGAGGACACGGGCAGAGGCAUC